Molecule: ribosomal RNA, 440 nt
Filed under: uncultured bacterium
Lineage: Bacteria
Description: bacterial SSU rRNA
Rfam family: Bacterial small subunit ribosomal RNA
Source: RNAcentral
CCUACGGGAGGCUGCAGUCGAGGAUCUUCGGCAAUGGGCGCAAGCCUGACCGAGCGACGCCGCGUGCGCGAUGAAGGCCUUCGGGUUGUAAAGCGCUGUCGAGGGGGAGGAAAGCCCGCAAGGGCCUGACCUAUCCCUGGAGGAAGCACGGGCUAAGUUCGUGCCAGCAGCCGCGGUAAGACGAACCGUGCGAACGUUGUUCGGAAUCACUGGGCUUAAAGGGCGCGUAGGCGGGUUCCCAAGUCGGGGGUGAAAUCUUUCGGCCCAACCGGAAAAGGGCCUCCGAUACUGGGAACCUCGAGGGGGGUAGGGGUCGGCGGAACUUCCGGUGGAGCGGUGAAAUGCGUAGAUAUCGGAAGGAACGCCGGUGGCGAAAGCGGCCGACUGGACCCCGCCUGACGCUGAGGCGCGAAAGCCAGGGGAGCGAACGGGAUUAGAUA